This 253-nucleotide ribosomal RNA is filed under the name uncultured bacterium. RNAcentral describes it as "partial 16S ribosomal RNA". It matches the Rfam family "Bacterial small subunit ribosomal RNA", at positions 524 to 776 of the family's 1533-position model. The record is from RNAcentral.
UACAGAGGGGGCGAGCGUUGUUCGGAAUUACUGGGCGUAAAGAGCGCGCAGGCGGUCGUUCAAGUCGCGUGUGAAAGCCCCCGGCUCAACUGGGGAGGGUCACGCGAUACUGAUCGACUCGAAGGCAGGAGAGGGAAGUGGAAUUCCCGGUGUAGUGGUGAAAUGCGUAGAUAUCGGGAGGAACACCAGUGGCGAAGGCGACUUCCUGGCCUGUUCUUGACGCUGAGGCGCGAAAGCUAGGGGAGCAAACGGG